AAGUCGAGCGAACAGACAAGGAGCUUGCUCCUUUGACGUUAGCGGCGGACGGGUGAGUAACACGUGGGUAACCUACCUAUAAGACUGGGAUAACUUCGGGAAACCGGAGCUAAUACCGGAUAAUAUUUCGAACCGCAUGGUUCGAUAGUGAAAGAUGGUUUUGCUAUCACUUAUAGAUGGACCCGCGCCGUAUUAGCUAGUUGGUAAGGUAACGGCUUACCAAGGCGACGAUACGUAGCCGACCUGAGAGGGUGAUCGGCCACACUGGAACUGAGACACGGUCCAGACUCCUACGGGAGGCAGCAGUAGGGAAUCUUCCGCAAUGGGCGAAAGCCUGACGGAGCAACGCCGCGUGAGUGAUGAAGGUCUUCGGAUCGUAAAACUCUGUUAUUAGGGAAGAACAUACGUGUAAGUAACUGUGCACGUCUUGACGGUACCUAAUCAGAAAGCCACGGCUAACUACGUGCCAGCAGCCGCGGUAAUACGUAGGUGGCAAGCGUUAUCCGGAAUUAUUGGGCGUAAAGCGCGCGUAGGCGGUUUUUUAAGUCUGAUGUGAAAGCCCACGGCUCAACCGUGGAGGGUCAUUGGAAACUGGAAAACUUGAGUGCAGAAGAGGAAAGUGGAAUUCCAUGUGUAGCGGUGAAAUGCGCAGAGAUAUGGAGGAACACCAGUGGCGAAGGCGACUUUCUGGUCUGUAACUGACGCUGAUGUGCGAAAGCGUGGGGAUCAAACAGGAUUAGAUACCCUGGUAGUCCACGCCGUAAACGAUGAGUGCUAAGUGUUAGGGGGUUUCCGCCCCUUAGUGCUGCAGCUAACGCAUUAAGCACUCCGCCUGGGGAGUACGACCGCAAGGUUGAAACUCAAGGAAUUGACGGGGACUCGCACAAGCGGUGGAGCAUGUGGUUUAAUUCGAAGCAACGCGAAGAACCUUACCAAAUCUUGACAUCCUUUUGACAACUCUAGAGAUAGAGCUUUCCCCUUUCGGGGGACAAAAGUGACAGGUGUUGCAUGGUUGUCGUCAGCUCGUGUCGUGAGAUGUUGGGUUAAGUCCCGCAACGAGCGCAACCCUUAAGCUUAGUUGCCAUCAUUAAGUUGGGCACUCUAAGUUGACUGCCGGUGACAAACCGGAGGAAGGUGGGGAUGACGUCAAAUCAUCAUGCCCCUUAUGAUUUGGGCUACACACGUGCUACAAUGGACAAUACAAAGGGCAGCGAAACCGCGAGGUCAAGCAAAUCCCAUAAAGUUGUUCUCAGUUCGGAUUGUAGUCUGCAACUCGACUACAUGAAGCUGGAAUCGCUAGUAAUCGUAGAUCAGCAAUGAUACGGUGAAUACGUUCCCGGGUCUUGUACACACCGCC
This 1357-nucleotide ribosomal RNA is filed under the name Staphylococcus haemolyticus. RNAcentral describes it as "bacterial SSU rRNA". It matches the Rfam family "Bacterial small subunit ribosomal RNA", at positions 59 to 1394 of the family's 1533-position model. Lineage: Bacteria; Bacillati; Bacillota; Bacilli; Caryophanales; Staphylococcaceae. The record is from RNAcentral.